This 459-nucleotide ribosomal RNA is filed under the name uncultured bacterium. Its description in RNAcentral is "partial 16S ribosomal RNA". It matches the Rfam family "Bacterial small subunit ribosomal RNA", at positions 339 to 795 of the family's 1533-position model. The record is from RNAcentral.
CCUCGGGUGGCAGCAGUGAGGAAUAUUGGUCAAUGGGCGGGAGCCUGAACCAGCCAAGUCGCGUGAGGGAAGACGGUCCUAUGGAUUGUAAACCUCUUUAGGCGGGGAGCACUGCCGGGCACGCGUGCCCGGAGGGAGAGUACCCGCAGAAUAAGCAUCGGCUCACUCCGUCCCAGCAGCCGCGGUAAUACGGAGGAUGCGAGCGUUAUCCGGAUUUAUUGGGGUUAACGGGGGCGUAGGCGGAGUUUUAAGGCAUCGGUAAAAUGUCCGGGCUCAACCCGGGCCGGCCGUUGAAACUGGGGAUCUUGAGUGGGAGAGAAGUAUGAGGAAGGCGUGGGGUAGCGGUGAAAUGCAUAGAUAUCACGCAGAACUCCGAUUGCGAAGGCAGCAUACCGGCGCACGACUGAAGCUGAGGCACGAAAGCGUGGGGAUCGAACAGGAUUAGAUACCCCUGUAGUC